Molecule: long non-coding RNA, 1470 nt
Filed under: Numida meleagris (helmeted guineafowl)
Lineage: Eukaryota; Metazoa; Chordata; Aves; Galliformes; Numididae
Description: lncRNA (ENSNMEG00000004500.1)
Source: RNAcentral
GGUCCUGUCCCAUCCCAUUGGGUCCUACAGAUCCCAUCCCAUCCCAUCAGGUCCUAUAGGUUCCAUUCCAUCAGGUCCUAUAGGGUCCUAUUCCAUCCCAUUGAGUCCUUUAGGGUUCCAUCCCAUCCCGUCGGGUCCUUUAGGGUCCUGUCCCAUUGGGUCCUAUCCCAUCCCAUUGAGUCCUAUAGGUCUCGUCCCAUUGGGUCCUAUAGGGUUCUGCCCCAUCCCAUUGGGUCCUAUAAGGUUCUGCCCCAUCCCAUCAGAUCCUAUAGGGUUCCAUCCUGUCCCAUCAAGUCCUAUAUAGGAUCCCAUCUUAUCCCAUUGUGUCCUUUAGGGUCCCAGCCCAUCAGGUCCUAUAGGGCUUUGUCCUGUCCUGCUGAGUCCUGCAGGGUUUCUUCCUGUCCCAUCAGGUCCUAUAGGUCCCAGCCCAUUGGGUCCUUUAGGGUCCUAUCCCAUCCCAUCGGGUCCUACAGGGUCCUAUCCGGUCCCAUUGCAUCCAAUCGGGCUCUGUCCCGUCCCAUCGGGUCCCACAGGUCCCGUCCCGUCCCGUCCCCACGCGGCCGCGCUGAGUCACGCCGGGACAGGCGGAAGCGGUCCCGGUGCCCGGGGCGGGGCGGGACAGCGCCCGGGACUGCGCGGGGCGGAGCGGAGCGAGGUGCGGGGGGAACCGGAGCCACAGAGCGGGCUGUGCCGGCACGGAGCGGGACCGGAGGCGGCGGUGGGGAGCGGGGCAGCGCGGGGCGGGGAGCGGGGCUGUCCUGGAGCGGGGUGCGGGGAGUUCCUGCCGUGGGAUUUGGGGCUCUCGUGGUGCGGGAUUUGGGUUUUUUUCAGCGCAGGGUUUGCAUUCUCCCAGGGCAGGGUUUGGGGUUUUCUCAGUGUGGCUUUGGGGUUCUCUCGGUGCAGGUUUCGGGGCUGUUCCCCUGCAGGAUUCAGGCUCACGGGGCAGGGUUUGGAGCUUUCCCAGUGCAGAUUUUGGGGCUCUCCUCAGGUGGGGUUUGGGCUCUGCCGGUGCAGGGUUCAGCCUGUCAUGGUGCAAGAUUUGGGCUCUCCCGUGCAGGGUUUUGGGCCCUCCCUGGUGCGGGGUUUGUGCUGUCCCAGUGCAGGAUUUGGGCUCUCCUGGUGCGGGGUUUGGCCUUUCUCAGUGCACGAUUCGGGGCUCUCUCAAUCUGGCUUUGGGGUUCUCCUGGUGCAGGGUUUGGAGCUCUCCCAGCACAGAUUUUGGGGGCUCUCCUGGUGUGGGAUUUGGGCUGUCCUGGCGCAGGGUUUAGGCUCUUCUGCCGCACACUUGGAGCUCUCCCAGUGCAGGAUUUGGGGUUUUCUCAGCGCGCUUUUGGGGUUCUCAUGCUGCAGGGUUUGGGGCUGCUCCGCUGCAGGAUUCAGAGUCCCGUGGUGCAGGGUUUGGAGCUCUCCCAGCGCCGAUUUUGGGGCUCUCCUGGCGCAGGGUUCAAGCUCUCCUGGCGCAUGGUUUGA